RNAcentral lists this transfer RNA (69 nucleotides) under Procambarus fallax (deceitful crayfish). Its description in RNAcentral is "tRNA-Gln". Lineage: Eukaryota; Metazoa; Arthropoda; Malacostraca; Decapoda; Cambaridae. The record is from RNAcentral.
UAUACGUAAGCGUUAACAGCACGAGAAGUUUUGAUCUUCUAAGAAUUGGUGAAAUUCCAUUAUGUAUAA